GCGCCCUUAGCUCAGCUGGUAGAGCAACUGACUCUUAAUCAGUGGGUCGAAGGUUCGAAUCCUUCAGGGCGCA
Molecule: transfer RNA, 73 nt
Filed under: Candidatus Scalindua rubra
Lineage: Bacteria; Pseudomonadati; Planctomycetota; Candidatus Brocadiia; Candidatus Brocadiales; Candidatus Scalinduaceae
Also listed under: 1 other name
Description: tRNA-Lys
Rfam family: tRNA
About the family: Transfer RNA (tRNA) molecules are approximately 80 nucleotides in length.
Source: RNAcentral